CCUACGGGAGGCAGCAGUGAGGAAUAUUGGUCAAUGGACGAGAGUCUGAACCAGCCAAGUAGCGUGAAGGAUGACUGCCCUCUGGGUUGUAAACUUCUUUUAUAUGGGAAUAAAAUGUUCCACGUGUGGGAUUUUGUAUGUACCAUAUGACUAAGGAUCGGCUAACUCCGUGCCAGCAGCCGCGGUAAUACGGAGGAUCCGAGCGUUAUCCGGAUUUAUUGGGUUUAAAGGGAGCGUAGGUGGAUUGUUAAGUCAGUUGUGAAAGUUUGCGGCUCAACCGUAAAAUUGCAGUUGAAACUGGCAGUCUUGAGUACAGUAGAGGUGGGCGGAAUUCGUGGUGUAGCGGUGAAAUGCUUAGAUAUCACGAAGAACUCCGAUUGCGAAGGCAGCUCACUGGACUGCAACUGACACUGAGGCUCGAAAGUGUGGGUAGCAAACAGGAUUAGAUACCCGUGUAGUC
This 460-nucleotide ribosomal RNA is filed under the name uncultured bacterium. RNAcentral describes it as "partial 16S ribosomal RNA". It matches the Rfam family "Bacterial small subunit ribosomal RNA", at positions 338 to 795 of the family's 1533-position model. The record is from RNAcentral.